RNAcentral lists this ribosomal RNA (403 nucleotides) under bacterium. RNAcentral's name for it is "partial 16S ribosomal RNA". It matches the Rfam family "Bacterial small subunit ribosomal RNA", at positions 355 to 776 of the family's 1533-position model. The record is from RNAcentral.
UGGGGAAUAUUGCACAAUGGGGGAAACCCUGAUGCAGCGACGCCGCGUGAACGAAGAAGGUAUUCGUAUCGUAAAGUUCUGUCCUAUGGGAAGAUAAUGACAGUACCAUAGAAGAAAGCUCCGGCUAAAUACGUGCCAGCAGCCGCGGUAAUACGUAUGGAGCGAGCGUUGUCCGGAAUUAUUGGGCGUAAAGGGUACGCAGGCGGUUUAAUAAGUCGAAUGUUAAAGAUCGGGGCUCAACCCCGUAAAGCAUUGGAAACUGAUAAACUUGAGUAGUGGAGAGGAAAGUGUAAUUCCUAGUGUAGUGGUGAAAUACGUAGAUAUUAGGAGGAAUACCAGUAGCGAAGGCGACUUACUGGACACAAACUGACGCUGAGGUACGAAAGCGUGGGGAGCAAACAGG